RNAcentral lists this transfer RNA (76 nucleotides) under Neorickettsia risticii (Potomac horse fever agent). RNAcentral describes it as "tRNA-Arg". It matches the Rfam family "tRNA". From Rfam's summary of the family: Transfer RNA (tRNA) molecules are approximately 80 nucleotides in length. Their secondary structure includes four short double-helical elements and three loops (D, anti-codon, and T loops). The record is from RNAcentral. RNAcentral also lists the same sequence under 4 other names. Lineage: Bacteria; Pseudomonadati; Pseudomonadota; Alphaproteobacteria; Rickettsiales; Anaplasmataceae.
GCACUUGUAGCUCAGUGGAUAGAGCGUUGCUCUCCGGAAGCAAAGGCCGUAGGUUCGAUUCCUAUCAAGUGCACCA